GAUCAUGGCUCAGGACGAACGCUGGCGGCGUGCCUAACACAUGCAAGUCGAACGGAAAAUUGAGCUUCGGUUCAAUUUUUAGUGGCGAACGGGUGAGUAACGCGUAGGCAACCUGCCCUUUAGACGGGGACAACAUUCCGAAAGGGAUGCUAAUACCGGAUGUGACGCUCCUAUCGCAUGAGGGGAGGCGUGAAGAAUGGCCUCUACAUGUAAGCUAUCGCUAAAGGAAUGGGCCGUGCG
RNAcentral lists this ribosomal RNA (240 nucleotides) under uncultured bacterium. RNAcentral's name for it is "partial 16S ribosomal RNA". It matches the Rfam family "Bacterial small subunit ribosomal RNA", at positions 15 to 235 of the family's 1533-position model. The record is from RNAcentral.